GCAGAUUAGCUCAAGGUAGAGCAUUUGUCAUAAGAUUAUAAAGGCUGGUUCAACUCCAGCAAUCUGCACCA
Molecule: transfer RNA, 71 nt
Filed under: Caudoviricetes sp.
Lineage: Duplodnaviria; Heunggongvirae; Uroviricota; Caudoviricetes
Description: tRNA-Leu
Rfam family: tRNA
About the family: Transfer RNA (tRNA) molecules are approximately 80 nucleotides in length. Their secondary structure includes four short double-helical elements and three loops (D, anti-codon, and T loops). Further hydrogen bonds mediate the characteristic L-shaped molecular structure. tRNAs have two regions of fundamental functional importance: the anti-codon, which is responsible for specific mRNA codon recognition, and the 3' end, to which the tRNAs corresponding amino acid is attached (by aminoacyl-tRNA synthetases). tRNAs cope with the degeneracy of the genetic code in two manners: having more than one tRNA (with a specific anti-codon) for a particular amino acid; and 'wobble' base-pairing, i.e. permitting non-standard base-pairing at the 3rd anti-codon position.
Source: RNAcentral